Molecule: long non-coding RNA, 7274 nt
Filed under: Zea mays
Lineage: Eukaryota; Viridiplantae; Streptophyta; Magnoliopsida; Poales; Poaceae
Description: long non-coding RNA (ZMAY_LNC002512)
Source: RNAcentral
AGGCUUCUUACUUUGUUAUUCUAUAACUUACUAAUUGAAUUGAUUUAUCACUCCCGCAUUAUUUAGCAAUACCCUUUUCAAGCAAGAACUUAGUUUCUAUUCUCCGACAUUUGUAUAUCUUGUUCUAACCACUAAUCAAGGGAUCUAGUUGGGGGAUAAAGUUUUAAUUUUCAGGUUCCGCCUAUUCACCCCCCUCUAGGCGACUUUCAAUUGGUAUCAGAGCUAGGCACUUCAUCUUGAGUCUAACAACUCGAAGUGAUGGCUCGUAGAAGAUCCCAAAAGAACAAGAAGACCCAGGAGACCAAGGAGGUAACUCUUGAGAUAUUACUUUCCGAUUGUUCUAAUUAUGAUUCAUGGUCUACUAGAGUGAUAAAUGCUUUUAGAGCGGUAGAUCCUCAAUUAGAACAAAUUUUAGACAAGAGUAUUAUUCCUCCUAACUAUGCUAGGGAAAAUGCCUCCGAAGAAGAUUUAAGAUGUAUACGCUUAAACUAUCUAGCUUAUGACAUCUUAAGUAAAUCCCUUAGCAAAGAAGAUUAUCAUGCCUUCAUAAUAAAAUAUGACAAACCCAUUUGUGAUGUGUAUGAUAUUUGGACUAGAAUUAAAGGCAAAUUUAAUAAGUCCAAACAUGAUAGUUCAUUUUGUGCUUCUACUUCCUUUGGUAUUUGUGAUACUAACCCUUGCAAGGAAGAAGAAGAAAAUGAACGGUGGAAACCAAACAAUGAAUCCACCUCUCCAAGAGGUUUGUCUUCCCAUUUCGAUUCCCACAUAUGUUGUGUGGCUAAUGAAAAUGAUAGAGGAAGCACAAAUGAGGAUGAGGAGGAAGAAAGAAGCCUUGUGCAACUCUACGCUCGCCUAAGCCAAGAAGAUAAGGCGGUCAUGCUCAAACUUCUAGAAAGAGCAAGAGAGCAAGGCGAAGCUCGUCAAAGGCUAGAAAGUAUUCUCUCCAUGAAGAUGCAAUGCUUUGACGAGUUGACUAAAGAACAUGAGGAGCUAAAGUGCUCUCAUGUUGGUUUGGUCCAAAGGUAUGAAACUAUUUCAAUUGAGCAAGAUAACGCUUUACAUUGUAUCGCUCAAUUAGUAAAUAAGAAUACCUUGCUUAAGGACCAAGUAGAAAAGCUAAAAAUUGAAAAUCUAGCUUUUCAAGAAAAAUAUGAUAUGCUCCUAUCCUCUCAUGACAAUCUUAGAGAUAAUCAUAUCAUAUUAAACAUUGCUCAUGAGGUUGUGAUAGAAAACUUAAAAUCCCAACAACCUCACUCUUGCACAUGUAUUCAAAUUGAUACUAUAUUACCAUGUGCUAAUGCUUGUUGUUCGUCGACAAGCAAAUCUUCUUUUGAGCUAGAACUUGCAGGAACAAAUGAUGAUACAUAUCAAAAGUUCAAGGAAGAAAACGAGAGGCUAAAAAUGAGCUUGACACAACUAAAAGGAAAGAGCAUUGCUCAACCUUCUCAAGAUAACCGUGAUCACAUGGUAAAGAAGCUUGAGACGGGAACAACCGUGGCGUGCACUAAAUCCCUUGAAGAAAAUGUCAAGGACUUGAGGAUUGCCAAGAGGAGGAAGCAAAAGAAGAAAAGCAAUACCGCCUCCAAAAGCCUCAACCAUGCCUCCAUAAAAGGUAACAUCCAAGGUAAUAAUCAAGUCACACUUCUUACAAAUAGAAAUAAGAGGUGUAGUGAAUGCUUUGAAAAGGGGCAUUUGAUUAGAUCAUGUCCCUAUAUUAAAAAUGGCUUGAUUAUUAACAAGGAUGAUAAACUCUGUUUUAAAUGUUCAAAGAAGGGACACUUUAUUAAAUCUUGUCCCCAUUUAAAACAAAAGGGCAUAGGCUUAGAAAAGAAAGUUUUUACUAACCAUGUAGCAAGCAACAAACAAGGAAAGAAGAAAUCUUCAAAACUUGGAAAACGCCUAUGCUACACAUGCCGGGAAAAAGGACAUCAAUGCAAUGAUUGUCCCAUUGGUAACUCCUCCACUCAUAGCUUGUCAUUUGAUUCAUAUAUAACUAGGCAACCCAAAAUUGCAACUUUUGCUAGAAAGGCAAUGAAUUUGCCAAACGCUAGCGCAAAGGACAUUUGGGUUCCUAGAUCUUUGUUAACUAACCAUAAUGGACCCAUCAAGAGAUGGGUACCAAAACAUGCUUGACAAGCUUUGCAGGAGAUAGAGAUGGUAUGAAGCUUUGGGAUGCUUGAGAGAGUCAAUUCAAUUUUUAUUAACUCAAGCUAUCAAUCUACAUAUCCAAGAUUGACCCAAGGUUAUUUCAAAUUAUUAUGUCUAAAACUCAUAUCAUCUCGGGAAGAUAUUAAUGUUGUAGGAAAUAAAGAAUUAAUCCUAUGCCGAAAAGUCAAGACCUACAACAUGGAGGAAAGCCAAAGGAUGGUAACAUUUUUGCUUUUAAGUGCAAGUAUUUUAGAAUAUCAUUUCUUAUGUGUCUUAUGUAGUCACAUAGAAAAAUAAAGCACUUCAAGUAUCUUUAAAUUAUAUCACCAUUCUUUGAAGAAGUUCCUCUCAUAUGGUAGAUUGUAUAUUCAUCAUUCCUAUACUAUGGCAAUCUACAUGUUUUACAAUAUUAAGUAACUCAUGGCAUGUUUUACACUUAUUAUCCUAUUAUUGCCAUGAUUCUAGAUAUAGAAAGAUGUUCCAAGUUCCUAAAAGAAUAAGAUGUCAUGUAAGGAAUUCAAAUCCCUACGACAUCUACAAAAGGAACAUUCUCUCUAUAACUAGAAUAGUGAGACUAAUGCUUGUAUCUAAGUAACCCAUGUAGUCUCAUUAGUAUGUCUCUUUGUGGAGAUGCGUAUUUUAACAUAAAAGGAGAAGUCAAUCCAAUGAUUAUGUUGUUUUGCUUCUUGCUUAUAUUGGAUAUGAUUCUUCUUCAUCUAUCGCUCUCCAUGUUAUGAAUUAGAUUUAUUCCCAUAAUCUUAAAUUAACUAUGCUUGUUUUUGCUAGUUAAAAUUUGAGCAUAAUAUCAUCAUGGAAUAACAUAGUUCAUAUCAUAAAGUUUCCAUGCUUUAGUAAUCUCUUUUUUUUAUUCCGUAUCAAAAUAAUUACUCAAAGGGAAACUAGCGCUUGUGUUACUAAUGACGUUUCUCUUGAGCUUACUUAUUGAUAUCUACAAAAGAGAAAGUCCCUGUCUAAAGUCACAAGCCUCUAGGGUUACUCUUCACCCUAAAGAAGAAAGGUAAAAGCAAAGGUAUGGAAACUCAACUUCUUAAUCAAAUAUAGUUCCUAUCAAUGAUUGUUUACUCUAAUAUAUCAUAUUCUACCCAUGAGAAGAAUAGAUUCUUUAUUGGACCAUAGUCGACUAGAUGUGCAUUCAAUCACAUUUUCAUAAAUGCACGUGUCCAUUAGAAUCUAAUUCGUGCCUUUGCUAUAUUUGUUCUCAUAUUGAUAUGCUUUUAAAGUUAUGAUAAUGAAUUCAAUAUGAAGAAGUAAAAUUCCCAUGGUUGAUCAAAUAUCAAAAGGGUGCAUAUUCCUCUUUCCAAGUAAUGUGCACUAAUGUUAAGGAUUUUACUUCAUGUCUAUAUGACUUAUGGAUGAUGAAUUGUGUUUAUUUUCUAUCUAAAGAAAUCAUCAUUCAUCAAAUACUCCCUUGUGUUAUUAAAAUAUUUCUUGAGUAUUUUCAAUAAGUUUGGAAGGAAAAAGAAACAACUACAAAGGGAAAACCUCACAUGAAAGAGAAAGACGUCAAGAGCAACAACAUGAGAUCUUCAAAAACAUCAAUGGUGUAGUUGUGAGCAUUCUAAAUCUCUUUCAUUGUGAGAACAACAGACAUAACUUGUAUUGCAAAUCUUUUAAGCCUUGAUCAAAGAUAUAUAGUGUUUCUCCUUAUUUACCUUUAAAAAUAAAUGCAUCCACCCAUCUCUUUCAUUCUUGAUGCAUAUCUUUAAGGGAAGCCUAUUUCUAUAUCUUGAUUAUCUCGAGACUAGCACGUUAACCUAGUAAUCUCAUAUAGUCUCUUGUAUGAGAACAAGCUUCUCAUAAAGCAUGCUACUACAUUCCAAUCCAACUUGGUAAUAUAAUGUCACCUUUAUCAAGGAUUGUAGUUUUCAAUGUUAAAGUAGCAUCUUUAUUGGAUUCUCCUAUUUUUGAGCUUGAUUGAAAAUCUAAUGCCUACGUUAAAGUAGCAUCUGUUCAUUUAUGCAAUUUGUGAUCCACUUGAUAUAUGUUAACCAUGUCUUAGAAAAAGGAUCACUAGUUGUAAGAACUCUCUCUUGUGCAAAAUAUUUUCACACACUGUCAUUAAGCAUAGGUCUUAAGCAACAAGACCAAGGACAUAAGCACAAUGGAGAGAGCGUCUACAAGUAAAGGUACAAAAAGGGUAAAACUAAUUCCUAUCAUUUACAUAUAUACCUAAAUCUUCCUCUUAUAUACACUCUUUGCAUAUCUUGUAUAAAAGGAAGAGAAAGCAUGUCCUUUGCAUUUAUCCCUGCUUCAUACCUAGUUUAACCUCUUAAAAUUUCACUCAUGCAUUAUUGCAUCUUUGCUAAAACUAGAUGAAGUGGUUCUAUUGUCAAGGAGCUUAAAGCUUAACCUUGUAACGAGGAUAAGCUGCCUUUUUGUUCCAAAGGUGGAUAGUCCUUAAGUCUCCUUGAAAUCCUUAAGGGUAAAUGCUUGAGAUAUUUAUAACAUGCUUUCAUAAGUGCAUAAAAUGUCAUGAGCAUCACACUUAUACUAUGACACAAUGCACUUUACACUCUUUAUGAUAUAGACAUGGUCUCAUUAACCUAAUUAUAUGCACUUGGCAUUUUAGACCAAAAAUUUGUUUUCCUCUCUAUGCACAUAUUUAGGGGGAGCAAUCUAUAUUGUAUAGAAUUGUUCAAGCUUAAUUGACAUAUCCUUUUUAAUCAUGUCUCUUUCCUUUGGUACAUUUGCAUAUUUCUUAUCUUCAUUGUGUACCAAGGCUAAGACUAAUAUGUAUUCAUGAGCAUCUCAUGUAUUAAGUCUUAGAUUGAAAGGGAAAUGGAGUAUUCGGCAAAGACAUCGCUUCCACUCAACUCCAUUGGUAUUAUCCACUCUUUGCCGUUAUCCCGCCGUCUCUCCGUCUUUGGUAUAAUCUUCACUCAUGUUUUAUUUGCCAAAGGGGAGAAAGUAGUUGGUUAAGGGCUUAUAUUUCACUCAAAGUAUCCGUUUUUGGCGAUUCAUGCUAAAGGGGGAGAAAGUAUUAGCCCAAAGCAAAAGGACCGCACCGCCCACCACCUAGUUUUAGAAAACUAAUAAUUUUCAAUUGGUAAAUUUCAAAUUGGUAUCUUAUUGUGUUCAAAAGGGGGUGAAAGUAGUAUUUUCAAAAUCAAUAUCUUAAAACCCUCUUGAACACUAAGAGGAGGAUUUUAUUGAGGGGGAGUUUUGUUCAGUCAAAGGAAAAGCAUUUUGAAACAGGGGGAGAAAAUUUCAAAUCUUGAAAAUGCUUCUCAAAAUCUUAUUCAUUUACCUUUGACUAUUUGCAAAAGAACUUUGAAAAGAAUUUACAAAAGAGUUUGCAAAAACAAAACAAAUGGUGCAAGCAUGGUCCAAAAUGUUAAAAGAAAAGCAUCCAUGCAUAUCUUAUGAAAUGAAUAUUGGUUUAAUUCCAAGCAAUCUUUGCACCUAUCUUAUGCAAACUAGUUCAAUUAUUCUCUUAUAUAUUUGCUUUGGUUUGUGUUGGCAUCAAUCACCAAAAAGGGGGAGAUUGAAAGGGAAAUAGGCUUUAAACCUCUUCCUAAAUGAUUUUGGUGGUUGAAUGUCCAACACAAACAAUUGGACUAAUUAGUUUGCUCUAGAUUACAUGUUCUACAGGUGCCAAAGAUUCAACUCAAAACCAAUAAAAAGAACAAGACAGGGUUCAAAAGAAAGGAGCAAAGAGAAACCGAAGUGCUCCCUGGUAUGGCGCACCGGACUGUCCGGUGUGCCACCGGACAGUGUCCGGUGCACCAGGGAGGAUUGUCUUCAAACUCUUCACCUUCGGGUUUCUCAGGCGCAGCCCACUAUAAUUCACCGGACUGUCCGGUGCACCACCGGACAGUGUCCGGUGCUCCAGAGUGAAUCGGCUCUGAACUGGCCAGCUUCGGGAAAAUGGGAGGUCGCUCCGCUAAAAUUCACCGGACUGUCCGGUGUACACCGGACAUGUCCGGUGUGCCAGCGGAGCAACGGUCAUCUGCGCGCAACGGUCGACUCUGCAAAGUGUACAGUUGAAUUCAGAGUGUCAGAGCAGAAGUCAGAGGGGCACCGGACUGUCCGGUGCCACAUGAGGACAAAGCCUCCAACGGUCGACCAGCUCCAAUCUCAACGGAUAGGAUGACGUGGCUGGCGCACCGGACAUGUCCGGUGUGCACCGGACUGUCCGGUGCGCCCAUCGCCAGCAGACUUCUCCAACGGCUACAAAUUGGAUGGUGGCUAUAAAUACCACCCCAACCGGCCACUUCAGUGUGUGGGAGUCCAAGCAACAUUCCAAGUCAUCUAGUUGACAUACUCAAGCCCUCCCAACCACCUAUAUUCAUUGAUACAUCCUAUACACAAGAUCUAGCCCACUACAACCAACACAAGUGCCACAAAAGAGAGAGCGAGCAAUUGAGAGCUACUCAAUUGAGUUUAGCCCUAGUGCCUUGUGAGAUACAUUGAGAGAUAGUGUGUGCUUCAUCCUUGUGUUCAUUUGCGCGUGGAGUUUUGACUCCCAUUCAAACUUCCUCCAAAGUGUUGGAGGCUUGUAAAAGCUAGCAAGAGACACCAAAGAUUGUGGUGGUCCUUGUGGGAUCGAGAGUGAUCCUUGAGAAAAAGAAGAGCUCACCGAUCCUUGUGUGAUCGGGCGAGAGAGGGAAAGGGUUGAAAAAGACCCGUCCUUAAGUGGACUCCUCAACGGGGACUAGGCCUUCGAGGGCCGAACCUCGGUAAAACAAAUCAUCCGUGUCCAUUGUGUUUAUUGCUUGUGGUUUGUUUGUUUUCCCUUGCUCUAAGUUUUCUUGCACCUUUAUUUGCUAAUAUCAUUUGGUGUUGCUUCAAGUUUAAUUCCAUUUAGUGAAGCAACAUUUCGCAAGAAAGAACUUGUCCUAGUGCUCUUCUCAUCUAAGGCUUCUUACUUUGUUAUUCUAUAACUUACUAAUUGAAUUGAUUUAUCACUCCCGCAUUAUUUAGCAAUACCCUUUUCAAGCAAGAACUUAGUUUCUAUUCUCCGACAUUUGUAUAUCUUGUUCUAACCACUAAUCAAGGGAUCUAGUUGGGGGAUAAAGUUUUAAUUUUCAGGUUCCGCCUAUUCACCCCCCUCUAGGCAACUUUCACUUCCUAUGGAUGGAUGUCCUUGUUUCGCUGUACUUUGA